CUAACCUGCCCACUGAUUUAUUAAAGGGCCGCGGUAUUUUGACUGUGCAAAGGUAGCAUAAUCAUUUGUCUUUUAAUUGAAGGCUGGAAUGAAUGGUUGAAUGAAGUAUUAACUGUCUCAAUUUAAUAAAAAUAAAAACUUAAUUUUUUAGUCAAAAAGCUAAAAUUAAUUUAAAAGACGAGAAGACCCUAUAGAUCUUUAUAUUUAUUUAUUAUAUAAAUUUAUAGAAUAAUAAAUAUUAUAUUAUAAGUAAUUAUUUUGUUGGGGUGACAGGAAAAUUUAAUAAACUAUUUUUAAUAAAAACCAAUAAUUUUUGAAAUUUUGAUCCAAUAAUAUUGAUUAUAAGAUUAAGUUACCUUAGGGAUAACAGCGUAAUUUUUUUAGAGAGUUCUUAUCGAUAAAAAAGAUUGCGACCUCGAUGUUGAAUUAAAGAU
Molecule: ribosomal RNA, 434 nt
Filed under: Kempynus digoniostigma
Lineage: Eukaryota; Metazoa; Arthropoda; Insecta; Neuroptera; Osmylidae
Description: partial large subunit ribosomal RNA
Rfam family: Archaeal large subunit ribosomal RNA
Source: RNAcentral